RNAcentral lists this ribosomal RNA (468 nucleotides) under uncultured bacterium. RNAcentral's name for it is "partial 16S ribosomal RNA". It matches the Rfam family "Bacterial small subunit ribosomal RNA", at positions 28 to 507 of the family's 1533-position model. The record is from RNAcentral.
GACGAACGCUGGCGGCGUGCUUAACACAUGCAAGUCGAACGGAAAGGCCCUGCUUUUGUGGGGUGCUCGAGUGGCGAACGGGUGAGUAACACGUGAGUAACCUGCCCUUGACUUUGGGAUAACUUCAGGAAACUGGGGCUAAUACCGGAUAGGAGCUCCUGCUGCAUGGUGGGGGUUGGAAAGUUUCGGCGGUUGGGGAUGGACUCGCGGCUUAUCAGCUUGUUGGUGGGGUAGUGGCUUACCAAGGCUUUGACGGGUAGCCGGCCUGAGAGGGUGACCGGCCACAUUGGGACAGAGAUACGGCCCAGACUCCUACGGGAGGCAGCAGUGGGGAAUAUUGCACAAUGGGCGGAAGCCUGAUGCAGCAACGCCGCGUGCGGGAUGACGGCCUUCGGGUUGUAAACCGCUUUCGCCUGUGACGAAGGGUGAGUGACGGUAAUGGGUAAAGAAGCACCGGCUAACUACGUG